GGUGGCUUAGUGGUAGAGCACUUGCCUAGCAUGCAUGAAGCCCUGAGUUCAAUUCCUCAGUACCA
This 65-nucleotide transfer RNA is filed under the name Dipodomys ordii (Ord's kangaroo rat). It matches the Rfam family "tRNA". From Rfam's summary of the family: Transfer RNA (tRNA) molecules are approximately 80 nucleotides in length. The record is from Rfam by way of RNAcentral. Lineage: Eukaryota; Metazoa; Chordata; Mammalia; Rodentia; Heteromyidae.